RNAcentral lists this ribosomal RNA (274 nucleotides) under uncultured bacterium. Its description in RNAcentral is "partial 16S ribosomal RNA". It matches the Rfam family "Bacterial small subunit ribosomal RNA", at positions 523 to 796 of the family's 1533-position model. The record is from RNAcentral.
AUACGAAAGGUGCAAGCGUUGUUCGGAUUUACGGGGCGUAAAGAGAGUGUAGGUUGUUUAUUAAGUCGGAUGUGAAAUCCCGGGGCUCAACCUCGGAACUGCAUUCGAUACUGAUAGGCUAGAGUUUGGGAGGGGUAAGCGGAAUUCCGUGUGUAGCAGUGAAAUGCGUAGAUAUACGGAGGAACACCUGAGGCGAAGGCGGCUUACUGGACCAAUACUGACACUGAGACUCGAAAGCGUGGGUAGCAAACAGGAUUAGAAACCCUAGUAGUCC